UUUUCCGCAAUGGGCGAAAGCCUGACGGAGCAAUGCCGCGUGAGUGAAGAAGGUUUUCGGAUCGUAAAGCUCUGUUGUUGGUGAAGAAGGAUAGAGGUAGUAACUGGCCUUUAUUUGACGGUAAUCAACCAGAAAGUAACGGCUAACUACGUGCCAGCAGCCGCGGUAAUACGUAGGUGGCAAGCGUUGUCCGGAUUUAUUGGGCGUAAAGCGAGCGCAGGCGGAAGUAUAAGUCUGAUGUGAAAGCCCUCGGCUUAACCGAGGAAUUGCAUCGGAAACUGUUUUUCUUGAGUGCAGAAGAGGAGAGUGGAACUCCAUGUGUAGCGGUGGAAUGCGUAGAUAUAUAGAAGAACACCAGUGGCGAAGGCGGCUCUCUGGUCUGCAACUGACGCUGAGGCUCGAAAGCAUGGGUAGCGAACAG
Molecule: ribosomal RNA, 421 nt
Filed under: uncultured bacterium
Lineage: Bacteria
Description: bacterial SSU rRNA
Rfam family: Bacterial small subunit ribosomal RNA
Source: RNAcentral